CACGGCUCCAGAGGUCCCCAGCCGGACCCCAUCCCCGCACCCAGGCCAACCUAGAAGUCCCGUUCCUCCCCAGAGAUGCGUGUCAAUCUGUCACUCAGACAUAACUCAGAUAUGAGUGCAGGGGACACGACAACAGAUACACCAGAAGAGGGCAUCGGAUCCCAUUACAGAUGGCUGCGAGCCACCAUGUGGUUGCUCGGAAUUGAACUCAGGACCUCUGGAAGAGCAGUCAGUGCCCUUAACCACUGAGCCAUCUCUCCAGCCUCGUGCUCCUGCACUUCAUGUUUGGUGUUCAUCACCUCAGCUUCCAUGGAAUCCAGCCGGUUCUCCAAGUUGAGACUCUCCUCCUGGCAUAUGGAGAGAGGGAAGGCUGUGACUGCUGUCCCUGGUCAGGUCCAUCUUCUUCCCCUCCCUCUCUCUCCAGUGUUCCUACCUGAAGGUACGGCUUCUCUGACCUCCAUUCCUGAAUGAUUGCCUGCACCACUUUGGAGUCUCCCUGCCAAGGAGAGGAGCCCAGUCACUUCCUCAGGUCACUCAUUUGCCGCCCCAAACCCUGCCACUCACCUGUGCACCCUCACCUGCAGCAGGUCUUUUAGCUGCAUGUGGAGAGACUUGGUCUCCUCCUGGAGGUGGUUGAUGGUGUCUUGGUUCUUCUUCAUGUUCCAUUGUGAGCUCUCAUAAAAGGCCUUACGAUCACCCUCUGGGGCAGACAGAGGUCACUGUCACUAGGUAGGUGGGUAGCACUUCCCAGAGAGAAGACCCAUUUGGUAGUGGUGGUGGUUUCUUGUUUGUUUAUUUUAGUUUUGUCUUUAGAUAGGGUUUCAUGUAGCCUGGGCUGGCCACAAAGAGCCAUUGGCUCAUUUGAGCUUGUGCUUCUCAUCCCUCUGACCCCCAAGAACUGGGAUUGCAGAUGUGCAUCUGUCAUAUCACAUCCAGUAUGAAGAGCUGGGAUUGAAAUGUGCCACACAAGCACCCUACUA
Non-coding RNA from Rattus norvegicus (Norway rat), 980 nucleotides. The record is from RefSeq and is a predicted model, not a curated record. NCBI's taxonomy places the organism in Eukaryota, Metazoa, Chordata, Mammalia, Rodentia, Muridae.